Molecule: ribosomal RNA, 517 nt
Filed under: uncultured Bacillota bacterium
Lineage: Bacteria; Bacillati; Bacillota
Description: bacterial SSU rRNA
Rfam family: Bacterial small subunit ribosomal RNA
Source: RNAcentral
UAGGGAAUCUUCCACAAUGGACGAAAGUCUGAUGGAGCAAUGCCGCGUGAGUGAAGAAGGUUUUUGGAUCGUAAAGCUCUGUUGUAAGGGAAGAACAAGUAUGGGAGUAACUGCCCGUACCUUGACGGUACCUUAUUAGAAAGCCACGGCUAACUACGUGCCAGCAGCCGCGGUAAUACGUAGGUGGCAAGCGUUGUCCGGAAUUAUUGGGCGUAAAGCGCGCGCAGGCGGCCUUUUAAGUCUGAUGUGAAAGCCCCCGGCUCAACCGGGGAAGGUCAUUGGAAACUGAAGGGCUUGAGUACAGAAGAGGAAAGCGGAAUUCCACGUGUAGCGGUGAAAUGCGUAGAGAUGUGGAGGAACACCAGUGGCGAAGGCGGCUUUCUGGUCUGUAACUGACGCUGAGGCGCGAAAGCGUGGGGAGCAAACAGGAUUAGAUACCCUGGUAGUCCACGCCGUAAACGAUGAGUGCUAAGUGUUAGGGGGUUUCCGCCCUUAGUGCUGGAGCAAACGCAUUAAG